This 460-nucleotide ribosomal RNA is filed under the name uncultured bacterium. Its description in RNAcentral is "partial 16S ribosomal RNA". It matches the Rfam family "Bacterial small subunit ribosomal RNA", at positions 338 to 795 of the family's 1533-position model. The record is from RNAcentral.
CCUACGGGUGGCAGCAGUGAGGAAUAUUGGUCAAUGGGCGCGAGCCUGAACCAGCCAAGUAGCGUGAAGGAUGACUGCCCUACGGGUUGUAAACUUCUUUUAUAAAGGAAUAAAGUGAGGCACGUGUGCCUUUUUGUAUGUACUUUAUGAAUAAGGAUCGGCUAACUCCGUGCCAGCAGCCGCGGUAAUACGGAGGAUCCGAGCGUUAUCCGGAUUUAUUGGGUUUAAAGGGAGCGUAGAUGGGUUUUUAAGUCAGUUGUUAAAGUUUGCGGCUCAACCUUAAAAUUGCAAUUGAUACUGGAAGUCUUGAGUACAGUUGAGGUAGGCGGAAUACGUGGUGUAGCGGUGAAAUGCUUAGAUAUCACGAAGAACUCCGAUUGCGAAGGCAGCUUACCAAACUGCGACUGACAUUGAUGCUCGAAAGUGUGGGUAUCAAACAGGAUUAGAUACCCUUGUAGUC